RNAcentral lists this ribosomal RNA (476 nucleotides) under uncultured bacterium. RNAcentral's name for it is "bacterial SSU rRNA". It matches the Rfam family "Bacterial small subunit ribosomal RNA", at positions 28 to 493 of the family's 1533-position model. The record is from RNAcentral.
GAUGAACGCUAGCGAUAGGCCUAACACAUGCAAGUCGAGGGGCAUCACAUGAAGUAGCAAUACGGAUGGUGGCGACCGGCGCACGGGUGAGUAACACGUAUGCAACCUGCCUUCAACAAGGGGAUAACCCGUUGAAAGACGGACUAAUACCCUAUAACACAGGGGUCCCGCAUGGGAAUAUUUGUUAAAGGACAACCGGUUGAAGAUGGGCAUGCGUUCCAUUAGCUAGUUGGCGGGGUAACGGCCCACCAAGGCAACGAUGGAUAGGGGAACUGAGAGGUUUAUCCCCCACACUGGUACUGAGACACGGACCAGACUCCUACGGGAGGCAGCAGUGAGGAAUAUUGGUCAAUGGACGCAAGUCUGAACCAGCCACGUCGCGUGAAGGAAGACGGCCCUACGGGUUGUAAACUUCUUUUAUACGGGAAUAAAGUGCCCCACGCGUGGGGUUUUGCAAGUACCUUGCGAAUAAGGAU